Molecule: long non-coding RNA, 142 nt
Filed under: Marmota marmota marmota (Alpine marmot)
Lineage: Eukaryota; Metazoa; Chordata; Mammalia; Rodentia; Sciuridae
Description: lncRNA (ENSMMMG00000022084.1)
Source: RNAcentral
GGAGGACCGGAACCAGGAAAGGAAGAAUCCCUAGGAUGAAAAAUCCAGAGUUAAAAGUGCUGCUGCCCCUGGGAGUGUCAGAGUGAUGGAAUCCGGUGAAAUAAAAGUUGCUCCAUCGUCCUGUUUCCAGCAGGGAGUUUCA